Molecule: transfer RNA, 70 nt
Filed under: Acinonyx jubatus (cheetah)
Lineage: Eukaryota; Metazoa; Chordata; Mammalia; Carnivora; Felidae
Rfam family: tRNA
About the family: Transfer RNA (tRNA) molecules are approximately 80 nucleotides in length. Their secondary structure includes four short double-helical elements and three loops (D, anti-codon, and T loops).
Source: Rfam by way of RNAcentral
GUUAAUGUAGCUUAAAUACAUAAAGCAAGGCACUGAAAAUGCCUAGAUGAGUCAUCAAACUCCAUAAACA